GGGGAAUAUUGGACAAUGGGCGCAAGCCUGAUCCAGCCAUGCCGCGUGAGUGAUGAAGGCCCUAGGGUUGUAAAGCUCUUUCAACGGUGAAGAUAAUGACGGUAACCGUAGAAGAAGCCCCGGCUAACUUCGUGCCAGCAGCCGCGGUAAUACGAAGGGGGCUAGCGUUGUUCGGAAUUACUGGGCGUAAAGCGCACGUAGGCGGAUAUUUAAGUCAGAGGUGAAAUCCCGGAGCUCAACUUCGGAACUGCCUUUGAUACUGGGUAUCUUGAGUAUGGAAGAGGUAAGUGGAAUUGCGAGUGUAGAGGUGAAAUUCGUAGAUAUUCGCAGGAACACCAGUGGCGAAGGCGGCUUACUGGUCCAUUACUGACGCUGAGGUGCGAAAGCGUGGGGAGCAAAC
RNAcentral lists this ribosomal RNA (400 nucleotides) under uncultured bacterium. RNAcentral's name for it is "bacterial SSU rRNA". It matches the Rfam family "Bacterial small subunit ribosomal RNA", at positions 356 to 773 of the family's 1533-position model. The record is from RNAcentral.